Molecule: ribosomal RNA, 797 nt
Filed under: uncultured archaeon
Lineage: Archaea
Description: bacterial SSU rRNA
Rfam family: Archaeal small subunit ribosomal RNA
Source: RNAcentral
ACUGCUCAGUAACACGUGGAUAACCUGCCCUUGGGUCCGGCAUAACCCCGGGAAACUGGGGAUAAUUCCGGAUAACGCAUAUAUGCUGGAAUGCUUUAUGCGUAAAAUGGAUUCGUCUGCCCAAGGAUGGGUCUGCGGCCUAUCAGGUAGUAGUGGGUGUAAUGUACCUACUAGCCGACGACGGGUACGGGUUGUGAGAGCAAGAGCCCGGAGAUGGAUUCUGAGACAUGAAUCCAGGCCCUACGGGGCGCAGCAGGCGCGAAAACUUUACAAUGCGGGAAACCGUGAUAAGGGGACACCGAGUGCCAGCAUCAUAUGCUGGCUGUCCGGGUGUGUAAAAUACACCUGUUAGCAAGGGCCGGGCAAGACCGGUGCCAGCCGCCGCGGUAACACCGGCGGCCCGAGUGGUGAUCGUGAUUAUUGGGUCUAAAGGGUCCGUAGCCGGUUUGGUCAGUCCUCCGGGAAAUCUGACGGCUCAACCGUUAGGCUUUCGGGGGAUACUGCCAGGCUUGGAACCGGGAGAGGUAAGAGGUACUACAGGGGUAGGAGUGAAAUCUUGUAAUCCCUGUGGGACCACCUGUGGCGAAGGCGUCUUACCAGAACGGGUUCGACGGUGAGGGACGAAAGCUGGGGGCACGAACCGGAUUAGAUACCCGGGUAGUCCCAGCCGUAAACGAUGCUCGCUAGGUGUCAGGCAUGGCGCGACCGUGUCUGGUGCCGCAGGGAAGCCGUGAAGCGAGCCACCUGGGGAAGUACGGCCGCAAGGCUGAAACUUAAAGGAAUUGGCGGGGGAGCAC